AGGUUUAGAUGAAUGGAAAAUGAACUUGCCAGUUCACAGCUAUGUCCUUCCCAAUUUAGGAGGUUAAGGGCAGGAAAAACAUGAGAAACUCUUUUGAGAAGCUGCACAAGCUGACAUGGAGGAUCAAGGAUUUCAAAAGCUUUGAAUAUAAAGAGGUGUCAGACUUACAUCAGAGCCUGAGACUUGACAUGCCUAUUUUUGCACUCGCUCAUUUUUCAAAUUUCAUAGGCAUUGCUCCCUCCAAAUCACCGCUCUUCUAAUUUUAUCCUGGAGUGUGCAUCCCAGAAGACAUAAGCUGACACAAUUGGGAACUGAAGUUGCUUGAAAAAGCUGGUGGUAAGAUUAGACUCUAGACAGCUUAUACGUAUUUGGACAAGGCAACGUGAUGAAGAAAUAAUAUAAUUGUAGGAUCACCUCUGUCCAGUAGCUGUUAUCCAACAUCUGCAUACUUAGAUUUCUGGAGAGAUAUCCAUGAAUGACCAUGAAAGUACAGCAAGUGAUUUUCAAGCUGCAAACAAAUUUUAGCAAACAAAUUCUCCUGUUUCCCAGGCUGGAGUGCAGUGGUGCGAUCUGGGCUCACUUCAUCCUAUGCCUCCCAGGCUCAAGCGAUCCUCCUGCCUCCACCACUGGAAUAACUGGGACUACAAACUCACACCACCAUGCCUAGUUAAUUUCUGUAUCUUUUUGAGUAGAGAUAGUGUUUUGCCAUGUUAUCCAGGGUGGCCUCCAACCCGGGAGCUCAAGCCAUCCACCCUCUUCGGCCUCCCAAAGUGCUGGGAUUGCAAGCAUGAGCCACUGCACUGGCUAAUUCUUUAUUUUAAUGUUCAUGUUUUCAUUAGGCAAUUUCAGUACACCCAAGUGUAUUUUGAGAAGUGAUUCACUUUUAAUCUCUCCUAGUUUCUUUCAAUUAUGGCCGCAAAAUUCAUUAACGUUGUAUGACUGAUUUAAGGAAAUGCUGUUGCAUUAGUGAGUAUCUACUUUUAUAAACCUAAAAUAGUUUCUUACCUCAUGUCUCCUUACAAUCAUCUGAUUAUAGACAGUAUCAAUUCUAUGAACUUGCAUACUUCCAAAAAGAAAA
This 1078-nucleotide long non-coding RNA is filed under the name Homo sapiens (human). RNAcentral's name for it is "long intergenic non-protein coding RNA 1684". The record is from RNAcentral. Lineage: Eukaryota; Metazoa; Chordata; Mammalia; Primates; Hominidae.